RNAcentral lists this transfer RNA (72 nucleotides) under Planctomycetaceae bacterium. Its description in RNAcentral is "tRNA-Arg". It matches the Rfam family "tRNA". From Rfam's summary of the family: Transfer RNA (tRNA) molecules are approximately 80 nucleotides in length. Their secondary structure includes four short double-helical elements and three loops (D, anti-codon, and T loops). Lineage: Bacteria; Pseudomonadati; Planctomycetota; Planctomycetia; Planctomycetales; Planctomycetaceae. The record is from RNAcentral.
GUCCCGAUGGUGUAACGGACAGCACAAGACUCUCCUAAGGUCUUGGACCAGGUUCGAUUCCUGGACGGGCUA